This 3194-nucleotide long non-coding RNA is filed under the name Nicotiana tabacum (common tobacco). Its description in RNAcentral is "long non-coding RNA (NTAB_LNC016547)". The record is from RNAcentral. Lineage: Eukaryota; Viridiplantae; Streptophyta; Magnoliopsida; Solanales; Solanaceae.
ACAUACAACCAUCAACCGUUUCUAGCAGGGGAAUAGACUCAGCUGCGCAGCCUUCAUGAAAGACCCUUUUCCCCUCAAAAAUCUGGUCUCCUUCAACAAGAGAGGAGGAGCCAUUUCAAUGGCAGAUUCUUAACAAAAAACAGACCCUUCCCCAUCGUCCUUAUCUUCUCCUUCAACUUUGAGAAAGCGCGACUGACCCCUAGGCAUCACAGCUUCAGCCGUUUUUACAUUGAGAGACCUUUCAUCUUCUCCAAGCAGUCAAGAAUUUUAGCCGCACACCCAUGGCUACUUCUUCUUCUUCUUGAACAAGAGAGCACGGAACCAAACACAAAACCCUAAUUCUUGAAAUACACUGAAGAGAGCUGAAGCUGCAGCUGCUGACCUCGACCCUUCUUCCAUUUCCUUCGCUCGAGCUAUUGCUUCGCCGGAAUUGAUCACUGGCGAGAGACAACACCAACCAGCGACCCCUACUCGGAAAUACACGAAAAAGCCACUCAUCUCCUUCCAAAAAAUAAUGCCAAAAGCUCCAAAAGCUCUGCUGGAAAACGCAACAACACAACAAGGAAAAACAAUCUCAGAAACCAACCCAAUCCAACACCAAAACCGGAACUGAAAUUCAGCUGAAGACGUUCCGGAAUCGCCACAAAGUUCUGUCCGUUUUCGAGUCUUCUGGUAUCGAUUCGAGGUGAUACUGGUUUCGAAGUCUAAAUCGCCGUUCGAGUACAGUUCAUGAUUCUUCUUUAACAUUUGUUGUUGUUUGCUGUAUUGCCGAGUUCCCAUCACCGGGUUUCUUGUCCCUCGAUUAACUGUAAGUUGUUUUUGAAAGCGUUACUGUCAUCCAAGCUCAAUCGAGUUGAAUCUGGCGAGAGUCCAACGAGUCUCGAGGUCUGGUCGAAGUUCAUUUGAGGUUCCAUCCGAGUUGCUGUCUGAUUCGAGUUCCUUUGCAGCCACUGUUUCAUUUUGGCUCGUCUAACUGUUGAACAUUUGAGAGAUUGAAAUAUUCAUUUCAGGUGCAUUCUUUCCUCUGUUAUCCUUUACAUUUUGCUAUUAUUUAUUUGGAAGCUUCAGUUAUGAGAUUUGCUCUUCCACGAUGGUGUAUUUAAAAGUUGUUUAUUGGUAGCUUCAUUUGAGUUCACUGUAAUUUCUACAAAACAUGGUUGUAACGUAUGAAGUCAAUGUGCGCAUGAGAAUUGGUUGCUAUUUUGUUUUUGUUCUUCUCAUUAUUGUUGGUAUGUUUUUCUUCAAUAUAUGUUAGGAUGGUUUUAAUGGUUGAAAUUAAGUUGUAGUUCCGGUCAUAUUUUUCCCAAAUUUGUGGUAGUUGAAGCUAAGUGAAAUCGAGAUUUAGUGUUAAAUCUACAUAGGUGAGACUGUGCUUUAAAGAGUUUGGUUGGUAGAUUCUUUGAUUCCCAGUGGGAUUUACGUGUUGCUGAGGGAACGUGGUUAGAACUGGUUGAUUUGUUAUUUUAGCGCAUGUUAAGUUAGAAUUAAGAAUGUGUUUGUUAUUUAAAAGGGUUGACAGAUUAGUUCUAUAAGCCUAAUUAGGAAUAAUUCUUUUAAUAGUUCGAGGUGUGUCAUGUCGAACAAAAUCUUAAAAUGCACGGCCCUCAUUUAAUUAACAUGUGAAUCUUUAGAAGUCGAGGCAUGCCAUUUAGUUGAAUUUCCAUGGCCCUCGCAAAGUUGCGAACGCGUAAUUGCUUUAAGUGCGUUGUUUUAAUAAUAUGUGCGCAUUUAUGUGACCCAAAUCAAAAUCUCAACAAUGUUAAAAUAUGUCAAAGACCGCGGGUGCAUUUAUGUGACGUGGUCCAAGACGUGUUUUAAUAGCGUUGCAAUCUUCCUGAAAAUAAUUAAAUAAAAGCGGUCAAAAGAUUAAAAUGGCAUCAUAGGUUAAAACGUGUUUCUAGAAUCAGAGAGUUAAGCCGAAUAUAACAGUUGAGCGACCAUGCUAGAACCACAGAACUUGGAAAUGCCUAACACCUUCUCUCGGGUUAACAGAAUUCCUUACUCGGAUUUCUGGUUCGCGGACUGUUAAACAGAGUCAAGCUUUUCAUCGAUUCGGGAUUCAACCGGUGACUUGGGACACCAUAAAUCUCCCAAGUGGCGACUCUGAAUUGUUAAUAAAAAUAAUCCCAUUUUGAUUGUCACUUUAAGUUGGAAAAAACUCCCCUAUAUCACCCUUCUCGGGGUUGUAGGUAAAAAGGAGGUGUUACACUGCCCGAGGGGCUUUUGUGAUUUUUGACCGAGUAAGGCCAAGGGCUUGUAUUGUGAGGAUACUUUUGGAUCGGGCUGCACGCCGCAACAGUGAGAUACUGAUUUGAUUAUGAGGCCGAGGGCCUAAGAUAUGUACGCAACGAGGCUGUUUGUGAUUUAUAUGAGGCCGCGAGCCUAAAUUUGAUGCCACGAGAUGGCUUGAUAUUGCACUUGGGCCGUAAAGGGCCCCUCCCGGAGUCUGCACACCCCCAGUGAGCGCCGUCGAUGAAAAAUAUGGAUCGGGCUGCACGCCACAGCGAUAUAUGGAUCGGGUUGCACGCCGUAGUGGUGCUGGUACUGUUCUAUGUGUUUACUUUAUUUCAUUUGUCUGCCAUUAUCUGUUGUUUGUGCCACUUCAUGAGAUAUCUACCUAAUUGCCUGGCAUUAUCUGUUAAUUGAGUGUUGUGCCCGAGGGUCAGAUUACUUUGCUUAUCUGCACUAUUUGUUUGCAUUCAUUUGCACAACCGUUGAUAAAGUCAUUUUCAAAAGAGGUUUAAACUGAGCUAAGAUGUUUUUCUAAAGAUUUCACAGUUUCACUGCUUUUCUCAAAGGGUUUUGCACUGCUCUAUAUAGCAUGAUGGUUUAUUUUACAUGAUUUCUUACUACUCUGUUAUUAUUUACCCUUAUUACUCACUGAGUUGGAGUACUCACAUUACUCCCUGCACCUUGUGUGCAGAUGCAGGUAUUUAUACACCCGGUAGCGGGUUUUUGGCUGAUCAGAGGUAGAGUUAUCGGAGUUUAGCGAGGUGGCUGCCGGCGUUCGCAACAUCGCUUUUCUCCCUUUUUUUCAUUAUUCCUAUUUUGUAUAAUUUAGACCUUGUAGUUGUACUUACACCCUAAUAGAUGCUCGUGACUUGUGAUACCCCGGUAUCGGGCUGUGUUUGGGCUGUAUUUCGCAUAUCAUAAAGAUCUUUUGCUUAGUUUGUGGUAAUCUAUUCAUACUUAGA